GGAAGGGUGGCCGAGUGGUUUAAGGCAGCGGUCUUGAAAACCGCCGAGGGUAACACCUCCGUGAGUUCGAAUCUCACCUCUUCCGCCA
Molecule: transfer RNA, 88 nt
Filed under: Desulfobacteraceae bacterium
Lineage: Bacteria; Pseudomonadati; Thermodesulfobacteriota; Desulfobacteria; Desulfobacterales; Desulfobacteraceae
Description: tRNA-Ser
Rfam family: tRNA
About the family: Transfer RNA (tRNA) molecules are approximately 80 nucleotides in length. Their secondary structure includes four short double-helical elements and three loops (D, anti-codon, and T loops).
Source: RNAcentral